RNAcentral lists this ribosomal RNA (663 nucleotides) under Aphelenchus sp. SN22. RNAcentral describes it as "partial large subunit ribosomal RNA". It matches the Rfam family "Eukaryotic large subunit ribosomal RNA", at positions 435 to 970 of the family's 3401-position model. Lineage: Eukaryota; Metazoa; Nematoda; Chromadorea; Rhabditida; Aphelenchidae. The record is from RNAcentral.
UUCUGCGUGUACCCUGCCUUUGCGAUCCCGCUAGGGUUGUGAGGUGGGAUUUCAUGCGGAUUGGCAGUGCAUUUGCGAGUAAUGUGCGCUGCGGCUUGUGGUCAGGUUACUCGAAAUGCGAUUAGAGGACUCCUUUUGGAGAAACCUGGUUGCAUGGAGAGUGAUUCAGACUGCAUGCCUAGGGACUGGCCUACGUGCGGAGUGGUUAUUGGAGUCGUUUCCUACGUAAAUCGCAUGCGAUUUGCGUUUGUGAAUUGCUUCGGUAGCUGCUUCGUGAACUGUUCCGACCGCAGUGUCAAAGGUGCUCAUCUUUCCGACCCGUCUUGAAACACGGACCAAGGAGUAUACAGUAUGUGCGAGUCAUUGAGUUUCAAACUCAAAGGCGUAAUGAAAGUAAAGAUUCCGUAAGGUUUUGAUAUGCGAUCUCGGUUGCCUCGGUGGCUGAGAGCAGCAUAGCCCCGUCUUGACCGCUUGCGGUAGGGCGGAGGCAGAGCGCAUGCUAUGUGACCCGAAAGAUGGUGAACUAUGCUUGAACAGGAUGAAGCCAGAGGAAACUCUGGUGGAAGUCCGAAGCGAUUCUGACGUGCAAAUCGAUCGUCUGAUUUGAGUAUAGGGGCGAAAGACUAAUCGAACCAUCUAGUAGCUGGUUCCUUCCGAAAAAAA